Molecule: ribosomal RNA, 385 nt
Filed under: uncultured bacterium
Lineage: Bacteria
Description: bacterial SSU rRNA
Rfam family: Bacterial small subunit ribosomal RNA
Source: RNAcentral
AUUGAACGCUGGCGGCAUGCCUUACACAUGCAAGUCGAACGGCAGCACGGGGCAACCUGGUGGCGAGUGGCGAACGGGUGAGUAAUGCAUCGGAACGUGCCAUUGAGUGGGGGAUAACGUAGCGAAAGUUGCGCUAAUACCGCAUAUUCUGUGAGCAGGAAAGCAGGGGACCGCAAGGCCUUGCGCUCUUUGAGCGGCCGAUGUCAGAUUAGCUAGUUGGCGAGGUAACGGCUUACCAAGGCGACGAUCUGUAGCGGGUCUGAGAGGAUGAUCCGCCACACUGGAACUGAGACACGGUCCAGACUCCUACGGGAGGCAGCAGUGGGGAAUUUUGGACAAUGGGCGCAAGCCUGAUCCAGCCAUGCCGCGUGAGUGAAGAAGGCCU